This 272-nucleotide unclassified non-coding RNA is filed under the name uncultured fungus. Its description in RNAcentral is "partial contains small subunit ribosomal RNA, internal transcribed spacer 1, and 5.8S ribosomal RNA". The stretch from base 1 to 73 matches the Rfam family "Eukaryotic small subunit ribosomal RNA", at positions 1759 to 1831 of the family's 1831-position model. The record is from RNAcentral. Lineage: Eukaryota; Fungi.
GCAAACUUGGUCAUUUAGAGGAAGUAAAAGUCGUAACAAGGUUUCCGUAGGUGAACCUUCGGAAGGAUCAUUACCGGACGGCCGCCACACGGCGGCCUGUCUUCUCUCUUCCCCGUGGUUUUUGCGCACGUGUUGUUUCCUCGGCAGGGGGCCCCCUGCCAGCGAGGACCGUCGAACCUUCUUGCCGUAGCAGUUUUUGUCAGGAUCGCAAGCAAACAAUCAAAACUUUCAACAACGGAUCUCUUGGUUCUGGCAUCGAUGAAGAACGCAGC